GAAAAGAAACCAACAGGGAUUGCCCCAGUAACGGCGAGUGAAGCGGCAACAGCUCAAAUUUGAAAUCUGGUCCCCAGGGCCCGAGUUGUAAUUUGCAGAGGAUGCUUUUGGUGAGGUGCCUUCCGAGUUCCCUGGAACGGGACGCCAUAGAGGGUGAGAGCCCCGUCUGGUUGGAUACCGAGCCUCUGUAAAGCUCCUUCGACGAGUCGAGUAGUUUGGGAAUGCUGCUCUAAAUGGGAGGUAUAUGUCUUCUAAAGCUAAAUAUUGGCCAGAGACCGAUAGCGCACAAGUAGAGUGAUCGAAAGAUGAAAAGCACUUUGAAAAGAGGGUUAAAUAGUACGUGAAAUUGUUGAAAGGGAAGCACUUAUGACCAGACUUGGCCCCGGUGAAUCAUCCAGCGGUUCCCGCUGGUGCACUUUGCCGGGGUUCAGGCCAGCAUCAGUUCGCUCCGGGGGAUAAAGGCUUUGGGAAUGUGGCUCCCUCGGGAGUGUUAUAGCCCAUUGCGUAAUACCCUGUGGCGGGCUGAGGUUCGCGCUUUAUGCAAGGAUGCUGGCAUAAUGGUCAUCAGUGACCCGUCUUGAAACACGGACCAAGGAGUCGUCUUCGUAUGCGAGUGUUCGGGUGUUAAACCCCUACGCGUAAUGAAAGUGAACGCAGGUGAGAGCCCUCCAGGGCGCAUCAUCGACCGAUCCUGAUGUUCUCGGAUGGAUUUGAGUAAGAGCAUACGGGGCCGGACCCGAAAGAAGGUGAACUAUGCCUGUAUAGGGUGAAGCCAGAGGAAACUCUGGUGGAGGCUCGCAGCGGUUCUGACGUGCAAAUCGAUCGUCAAAUAUGGGCAUGGGGGCGAAAGACUAAUCGAACCUUCUAGUAG
RNAcentral lists this ribosomal RNA (871 nucleotides) under Metarhizium anisopliae. RNAcentral's name for it is "partial large subunit ribosomal RNA". It matches the Rfam family "Eukaryotic large subunit ribosomal RNA", at positions 56 to 950 of the family's 3401-position model. Lineage: Eukaryota; Fungi; Ascomycota; Sordariomycetes; Hypocreales; Clavicipitaceae. The record is from RNAcentral.